UCGCCUCAUGGGCGAGGGGCGGCCGCGC
Molecule: small RNA, 28 nt
Filed under: Bombyx mori (domestic silkworm)
Lineage: Eukaryota; Metazoa; Arthropoda; Insecta; Lepidoptera; Bombycidae
Description: ovarian small RNA-28733
Source: RNAcentral